UAGGGAAUAUUGGACAAUGGGGGCAACCCUGAUCCAGCCAUGCCGCGUGAGUGAAGAAGGCCCUCGGGUUGUAAAGCUCUUUUGUCCGGAAAGAAAAGCUUCGGGUUAAUACCCCGGGGUUCUGACGGUACCGGAAGAAUAAGCACCGGCUAACUUCGUGCCAGCAGCCGCGGUAAUACGAAGGGUGCAAGCGUUACUCGGAAUUACUGGGCGUAAAGCGUGCGUAGGUGGUUGUUUAAGUCUGAUGUGAAAGCCCUGGGCUCAACCUGGGAAUGGCAUUGGAAACUGGGCAGCUAGAGUGCGGUAGAGGGUAGUGGAAUUCCCGGUGUAGCAGUGAAAUGCGUAGAGAUCGGGAGGAACAUCUGUGGCGAAGGCGACUGCCUGGACCAGCACUGACACUGAGGCUCGAAAGCGUGGGGAGCAAACA
RNAcentral lists this ribosomal RNA (427 nucleotides) under uncultured bacterium. RNAcentral describes it as "bacterial SSU rRNA". It matches the Rfam family "Bacterial small subunit ribosomal RNA", at positions 355 to 774 of the family's 1533-position model. The record is from RNAcentral.